UGGGGAAUAUUGCACAAUGGGCGAAAGCCUGAUGCAGCAACGCCGCGUGAGUGAUGAAGGUCUUCGGAUUGUAAAGCUCUGUCUUUUGGGACGAUAAUGACGGUACCAAAGGAGGAAGCCACGGCUAACUACGUGCCAGCAGCCGCGGUAAUACGUAGGUGGCGAGCGUUGUCCGGAUUUACUGGGCGUAAAGGGUGCGUAGGCGGAUGUUUAAGUGAGAUGUGAAAUACCCGGGCUUAACUUGGGUGCUGCAUUUCAAACUGGAUAUCUAGAGUGCAGGAGAGGAGAAUGGAAUUCCUAGUGUAGCGGUGAAAUGCGUAGAGAUUAGGAAGAACACCAGUGGCGAAGGCGAUUCUCUGGACUGUAACUGACGCUGAGGCACGAAAGCGUGGGUAGCAAACAGGAUUAGAUACCCUGGUAGUCCACGCCGUAAACGAUGAGUACUAGGUGUAGGAGGUAUCGACCCCUUCUGUGCCGCAGUAAACACAUUAAGUACUCCGCCUGGGAAGUACGAUCGCAAGAU
Molecule: ribosomal RNA, 523 nt
Filed under: uncultured bacterium
Lineage: Bacteria
Description: partial 16S ribosomal RNA
Rfam family: Bacterial small subunit ribosomal RNA
Source: RNAcentral